GAAGCCUUGAUUCUGAGAACCGGUACCUAAGUCUUCUGGAAAGGAGCGCCAAGGAGGGUGAUAGCCCCGUACGGUACUGACCUCAUUGUAGAAUCUUGGCGUGGAGUCGAGUUGUUUGGGAAUGCAGCUCAAAUGGGUGGUAUGCUCCAUCUAAAGCUAAAUAUCUGCGAGAGACCGAUAGCGAACAAGUACUGUGAAGGAAAGAUGAAAAGAACUUUGAAAAGAGAGUGAAAAAGUACGUGAAAUUGUUGAAAUGGAAGGAUAGGCCGCUAACCACGUAGAGCCGUGUCUGAGGGGAGGAUAAAAGCUGUAGAAUGUGGCUCUUCGGAGUGUUAUAGCUGCAGUGCAUACUCCCACUCGGGCGCGAGGACCUAAGGCUCUGCUAAAUGGUGGUCUAUCACCCGUCUUGACCACGGACCCACA
RNAcentral lists this ribosomal RNA (423 nucleotides) under Starmerella bombicola. Its description in RNAcentral is "partial large subunit ribosomal RNA". It matches the Rfam family "Eukaryotic large subunit ribosomal RNA", at positions 151 to 671 of the family's 3401-position model. The record is from RNAcentral. Lineage: Eukaryota; Fungi; Ascomycota; Dipodascomycetes; Dipodascales; Trichomonascaceae.